UUUGUAUGGUCUUUAAUAAGCCAUAAGAAAUGUCAUGAAAAGUUGACAAUUUCAUGAUAUCAAAUGAAUUAAAAGUGAAUGAAAGUGACAAAUAUAUUUACUAUAAACUAGUAAAUAGCAUUUGCAUUAUCAUAAGUCUCUAUGUAAAUGAUUUACAUGUUUAGAGCAAACAUUCAUGUUGUGAAUAAAAUGAAAUCAUUGUUGUCUAACAACUUUGAUAAGAAAGAGUUUGAAAAAGUAGAUGU
RNAcentral lists this long non-coding RNA (245 nucleotides) under Trifolium pratense (red clover). Its description in RNAcentral is "long non-coding RNA (TPRA_LNC004962)". Lineage: Eukaryota; Viridiplantae; Streptophyta; Magnoliopsida; Fabales; Fabaceae. The record is from RNAcentral.